GGCCCAGACUCCUACGGGAGGCAGCAGUGGGGGAUAUUGCGCAAUGGGGGAAACCCUGACGCAGCAACGCCGCGUGAAGGAUGAAGGUCUUCGGAUUGUAAACUUCUUUUAUUAAGGACGAAGAAAGUGACGGUACUUAAUGAAUAAGCUCCGGCUAACUACGUGCCAGCAGCCGCGGUAAUACGUAGGGAGCAAGCGUUGUCCGGAUUUACUGGGUGUAAAGGGUGCGUAGGUGGCUUUGCAAGUCAGAUGUGAAAUCUAUGGGCUCAACCCAUAGCCUGCAUUUGAAACUGCAGAGCUUGAGUGAAGUAGAGGCAGGCGGAAUUCCCCGUGUAGCGGUGAAAUGCGUAGAGAUGGGGAGGAACACCAGUGGCGAAGGCGGCCUGCUGGGCUUUAACUGACGCUGAGGCACGAAAGCGUGGGUAGCAAACAGGAUUAGAUACCCUGGUAGUCCACGCUGUAAACGAUGAAAGGUAGGUGUGGGGGGUCUGACCCCUUCCGUGCCGGAG
RNAcentral lists this ribosomal RNA (509 nucleotides) under uncultured bacterium. RNAcentral describes it as "bacterial SSU rRNA". It matches the Rfam family "Bacterial small subunit ribosomal RNA", at positions 328 to 851 of the family's 1533-position model. The record is from RNAcentral.